GUCCACGCCCUAAACGAUGGGUACUAGACGUCGGGAAGCUUGUCUUCUUGGUGUCGCAGCUAACGCAAUAAGUACCCCGCCUGGGGAGUACGGUCGCAAGAUUAAAACUCAAAGGAAUUGACGGGGCCCGCACAAGCGGUGGAGCAUGUGGUUCAAUUCGAUGCAACGCGAAAAACCUUACCUGCCCUUGACAUCUGGGGAAUCCUGCAGAGAUGCGGGAGUGCCGCAAGGAACCCCAAGACAGGUGCUGCAUGGCUGUCGU
This 262-nucleotide ribosomal RNA is filed under the name uncultured bacterium. RNAcentral's name for it is "partial 16S ribosomal RNA". It matches the Rfam family "Bacterial small subunit ribosomal RNA", at positions 793 to 1055 of the family's 1533-position model. The record is from RNAcentral.